This 492-nucleotide ribosomal RNA is filed under the name uncultured bacterium. RNAcentral's name for it is "partial 16S ribosomal RNA". It matches the Rfam family "Bacterial small subunit ribosomal RNA", at positions 28 to 507 of the family's 1533-position model. The record is from RNAcentral.
GAUGAACGCUAGCUACAGGCUUAACACAUGCAAGUCGAGGGGAAACGACAUCGAAAGCUUGCUUUUGAUGGGCGUCGACCGGCGCACGGGUGAGUAACGCGUAUCCAACCUGCCCAUCACUUGGGAAUAACCUUGCGAAAGUAAGACUAAUACCCAAUGAUAUCCCACGAAGACAUCUGAAUGGGAUUAAAGAUUUAUCGGUGAUGGAUGGGGAUGCGUCUGAUUAGCUUGUUGGUGGGGUAACGGCCCACCAAGGCAACGAUCAGUAGGGGUUCUGAGAGGAAGGUCCCCCACAUUGGAACUGAGACACGGUCCAAACUCCUACGGGAGGCAGCAGUGAGGUAUAUUGGUCAAGGGGCGAGAGCCUGAACCAGCCAAGUAGCGUGCAGGAUGACGGCCCUAUGGGUUGUAAACUGCUUUUAUAAGGGAAUAAAGUGGGUCUCGUGAGACUUUUUGCAUGUACCUUAUGAAUAAGGACCGGCUAAUUCCGUG